UACAGAGGUCCCAAGCGUUGUUCGGAUUCACUGGGCGUAAAGGGUGCGUAGGUGGCCAGGUAAGUUUGGUGUGAAAGCUCGGAGCUUAACUCCGAAAAGUCAUUGAAUACUAUCUGGCUGGAGGGUCGGAGGGGAGACUGGAAUUCUCGGUGUAGCAGUGAAAUGCGUAGAUAUCGAGAGGAACACCAGUGGCGAAGGCGAGUCUCUGGACAACUUCUGACGCUGAGGCACGAAAGCUAGGGGAGCAAACAGG
This 253-nucleotide ribosomal RNA is filed under the name uncultured bacterium. RNAcentral's name for it is "partial 16S ribosomal RNA". It matches the Rfam family "Bacterial small subunit ribosomal RNA", at positions 524 to 776 of the family's 1533-position model. The record is from RNAcentral.